Molecule: transfer RNA, 69 nt
Filed under: Sitta nagaensis (chestnut-vented nuthatch)
Lineage: Eukaryota; Metazoa; Chordata; Aves; Passeriformes; Sittidae
Description: tRNA-Val
Rfam family: tRNA
About the family: Transfer RNA (tRNA) molecules are approximately 80 nucleotides in length. Their secondary structure includes four short double-helical elements and three loops (D, anti-codon, and T loops). Further hydrogen bonds mediate the characteristic L-shaped molecular structure. tRNAs have two regions of fundamental functional importance: the anti-codon, which is responsible for specific mRNA codon recognition, and the 3' end, to which the tRNAs corresponding amino acid is attached (by aminoacyl-tRNA synthetases). tRNAs cope with the degeneracy of the genetic code in two manners: having more than one tRNA (with a specific anti-codon) for a particular amino acid; and 'wobble' base-pairing, i.e. permitting non-standard base-pairing at the 3rd anti-codon position.
Source: RNAcentral
CAAGACGUAGCUUAAACAAAGCAUUCAGCUUACACCUGAAAGAUGUCUGCUAAACCCAGAUCGUCUUGA